UACGUAGGGGGCUAGCGUUGUCCGGAAUCAUUGGGCGUAAAGAGCGUGUAGGCGGUCCGGUAAGUCCGCUGUGAAAGUCGGUGGCUCAACCCUCGAAUGCCGGUGGAUACUGUCGGGCUAGAGUGCGGAAGAGGCGAGUGGAAUUCCUGGUGUAGCGGUGAAAUGCGCAGAUAUCAGGAGGAACACCUAUUGCGAAGGCAGCUCGCUGGGACGUUACUGACGCUGAGACGCGAAAGCGUGGGGAGCAAACAGG
This 253-nucleotide ribosomal RNA is filed under the name uncultured bacterium. RNAcentral describes it as "partial 16S ribosomal RNA". It matches the Rfam family "Bacterial small subunit ribosomal RNA", at positions 524 to 776 of the family's 1533-position model. The record is from RNAcentral.